RNAcentral lists this small RNA (125 nucleotides) under Marmota monax (woodchuck). The record is from RNAcentral. Lineage: Eukaryota; Metazoa; Chordata; Mammalia; Rodentia; Sciuridae.
GCUGGGGGUGGUGGCCCACGCCUGUAAUCCCAGUGACUUGGGAGGCUGAGGCAGGAGGAUCGUGAGUUCAAAGCCAGCCUCAGCAACAGUGAAGUGCUAAGCAACUCAGUGGGACCCCGUCUCUA